This 991-nucleotide ribosomal RNA is filed under the name Seiridium rosarum. RNAcentral describes it as "eukaryotic LSU rRNA". It matches the Rfam family "Eukaryotic large subunit ribosomal RNA", at positions 37 to 1056 of the family's 3401-position model. Lineage: Eukaryota; Fungi; Ascomycota; Sordariomycetes; Amphisphaeriales; Sporocadaceae. The record is from RNAcentral.
AGCAUAUCAAUAAGCGGAGGAAAAGAAACCAACAGGGAUUGCCCUAGUAACGGCGAGUGAAGCGGCAACAGCUCAAAUUUGAAAUCUGGCCCUUGGGUCCGAAUUGUAAUUUGUAGAGGAUGAUUUUGGUGCGGUAUCUUCCGAGUUCCUUGGAACAGGACGCCUUAGAGGGUGAGAGCCCCGUACGGUUGAAUGCCUAGCCUCUGUAAAUCUCCUUCGACGAGUCGAGUAGUUUGGGAAUGCUGCUCUAAAUGGGAGGUAAAUUUCUUCUAAAGCUAAAUACUGGCCAGAGACCGAUAGCGCACAAGUAGAGUGAUCGAAAGAUGAAAAGCACUUUGAAAAGAGGGUUAAAUAGCACGUGAAAUUGUUGAAAGGGAAGGAUUUAUGACCAGACUUUUUCUGGGCGGAUCAUCCGGUGUUCUCACCGGUGCACUUUGCCCAGUUUAGGCCAGCAUCGAUUUUCGGAGAGGGAUAAAAGCUUUGGGAAUGUGGCUCCCCCGGGAGUGUUAUAGCCCAUUGUAUAAUACCUUUUUGGGGAUCGAGGUACGCGCUUCUGCAAGGAUGCUGGCGUAAUGGUUAUCAAUCACCCGUCUUGAAACACGGACCAAGGAGUCGAACAUUUGUGCGAGUGUUUGGGUGUUAAACCCUCACGCGUAAUGAAAGUGAACGGAGGUGAGAGCCCUUACGGGUGCAUCAUCGACCGAUCCUGAAGUUUUCGGAUGGAUUUGAGUAAGAGCAUAACUGUUCGGACCCGAAAGAUGGUGAACUAUGCGUGGAUAGGGUGAAGCCAGAGGAAACUCUGGUGGAGGCUCGCAGCGGUUCUGACGUGCAAAUCGAUCGUCAAAUCUGCGCAUGGGGGCGAAAGACUAAUCGAACCAUCUAGUAGCUGGUUACCGCCGAAGUUUCCCUCAGGAUAGCAGUGUUGUCUUCAGUUUUAUGAGGUAAAGCGAAUGAUUAGGGACUCGGGGGCGCUUUUUAGCCUUCAUCCAUU